UACGGAGGGGGCGAGCGUUAUUCGGAAUUACUGGGCGUAAAGCGCGCGUAGGCGGCUUUGCAAGUCGGGUGUGAAAUCCCCAGGCUUAACCUGGGAACUGCAUUCGAGACUGCAUUGCUAGAGUAUGGGAGAGGGAAGUGGAAUUUCCGGUGUAGCGGUGAAAUGCGUAGAUAUCGGAAGGAACAUCAGUGGCGAAAGCGACUUCCUGGACCAAUACUGACGCUCAUGUGCGAAAGCGUGGGGAGCAAACAGG
RNAcentral lists this ribosomal RNA (253 nucleotides) under uncultured bacterium. RNAcentral describes it as "partial 16S ribosomal RNA". It matches the Rfam family "Bacterial small subunit ribosomal RNA", at positions 524 to 776 of the family's 1533-position model. The record is from RNAcentral.